CCUACGGGUGGCAGCAGUGAGGAAUAUUGGUCAAUGGGCGCGAGCCUGAACCAGCCAAGUCGCGUGAGGGAAGACGGUCCUAUGGAUUGUAAACCUCUUUUGUCGGGGAGCAAAAGACGUCACGCGUGGCGUCCCGAGAGUACCCGAAGAAAAAGCAUCGGCAAACCCCGUGCCAGCAGCCGCGGUAAUACGGAGGAUGCGAGUGUUAUCCGGAUUUAUUGGGUUUAAAGGGUGCGCAGGCGGAAGAUUAAGUCCGGGGUAAAAUUGAGGGGCUCAACCACUUCGAGCCGUUGAAACUGGUGGUCUUGAGUGAGUGAGAAGUAUGCGGAAUGCGUGGUGUAGCGGUGAAAUGCAUAGAUAUCACGCAGAACUCCGAUUGCGAAGGCAGCAUACCGGCGCUCAACUGACGCUCAUGCACGAAAGUGUGGGGAUCGAACAGGAUUAGAUACCCGUGUAGUC
Molecule: ribosomal RNA, 459 nt
Filed under: uncultured bacterium
Lineage: Bacteria
Description: partial 16S ribosomal RNA
Rfam family: Bacterial small subunit ribosomal RNA
Source: RNAcentral